This 226-nucleotide long non-coding RNA is filed under the name Mytilus galloprovincialis (Mediterranean mussel). Lineage: Eukaryota; Metazoa; Mollusca; Bivalvia; Mytilida; Mytilidae. The record is from RNAcentral.
UUUUUUUUUAGCUGUAAUCUCUGUCCUGCCUUUUUAUUUUUCACUCUGUUCGGUCCUGCCUUUUUUUUUUUAGUUUAUCCUGACUUUUUUUACCUAAAUUGUCGUCCUGACUUUUUUUUUUGCAAGUGUCUCAUCCUGCCUUUUUUUUACUCAAAACUUCUGUCCUGCCUAUUUUUUUUCAAAUUUCAUCCUAGCCCCCCAUAAAAAUUAAAUGGUAGCUCCCUAA